RNAcentral lists this ribosomal RNA (493 nucleotides) under uncultured bacterium. RNAcentral describes it as "partial 16S ribosomal RNA". It matches the Rfam family "Bacterial small subunit ribosomal RNA", at positions 30 to 507 of the family's 1533-position model. The record is from RNAcentral.
CGAACGCUGGCGGCGUGCCUAAUACAUGCAAGUAGAACGCUGAAGGAGGAGCUUGCUUCUCCGGAUGAGUUGCGAACGGGUGAGUAACGCGUAGGUAACCUGCCUGGUAGCGGGGGAUAACUAUUGGAAACGAUAGCUAAUACCGCAUAAGAGUAGAUGUUGCAUGACAUUUGCUUAAAAGGUGCAAUUGCAUCACUACCAGAUGGACCUGCGUUGUAUUAGCUAGUUGGUGAGGUAACGGCUCACCAAGGCGACGAUACAUAGCCGACCUGAGAGGGUGAUCGGCCACACUGGGACUGAGACACGGCCCAGACUCCUACGGGAGGCAGCAGUAGGGAAUCUUCGGCAAUGGACGGAAGUCUGACCGAGCAACGCCGCGUGAGUGAAGAAGGUUUUCGGAUCGUAAAGCUCUGUUGUAAGAGAAGAACGAGUGUGAGAGUGGAAAGUUCACACUGUGACGGUAUCUUACCAGAAAGGGACGGCUAACUACGUG